AUUGAACGCUGGCGGCAGGCCUAACACAUGCAAGUCGAGCGAGCGGCGGACGGGUGAGUAAUGUAUGGGGACUGCCCGAUAGAGGGGGAUAACUACUGGAAACGGUAGCUAAUACCGCAUACUAUCGGAUAACCCAUAUGGGAUUAGCUAGUAGGGGAUGUAAUGGCUAACCUAGGCGACGACCCCUAGCUGGUCUGAGAGGGUGAUCAGCCACACUGGGCCUGGGACACGGCCCGGACUCCUCCGGAGGCAGCAGUGGGGAAUAUUGCACAAUGGGCGCAGUCCUGAUGCAGCAAGGCCGCGUGUAUGAAGAAGGCCCUAGGGUUGUAAAGUACUUUCAGUCGGGAGGCGUUACCGACAGAAGAAGCACCGGCUAACUCCGUGCCAGCAGCCGCGGUAAUAC
Molecule: ribosomal RNA, 403 nt
Filed under: uncultured bacterium
Lineage: Bacteria
Description: partial 16S ribosomal RNA
Rfam family: Bacterial small subunit ribosomal RNA
Source: RNAcentral